GAUUGUAAAUAGUCCUUUAAGUGAAUUGCUCAGAAUUAGGGAGAAUGCUGGUAGCUGGGUUGGGACUGCAGCUUCUUUCGGAUUUAAGUCUAACGAUGUAACCUGUUUAUUAUCACCUUACGUAGCGCUCUAGUGAUGAUACAUGGCCCAGCUUGGAGUGAUGAGAGUGAUGACCUCCUAGUAUAAGAUGUGCUUCUGAAUUGGGAACCUUCUAACAAAUCUCGGAUCACCUUCCCCUGCAAGAUCUGGCCUGCUUAUGAGCAUGGAGAAACCGCUGAAGAAGUGUCGUCUUUAGAAAGUCCCAGUGACAUGUCUGUGUCUGAGGAAAGCAAGAUGCUCAGAUGCUGGUGUAUGGGAAGCUGUCUGACCUUGGGGCAGUUGUUGCAACACCAGCCUCUUCCACGCAGUUGCGUUCCAGCGAUCUUGCUCUGAAGCACAAGUAUCUUGUACUCCCUGUGGAGCUCUGUGUUAGGAUUUAUGUCAGCAAGUCUUGCUGGCCAAGGUGGUCUCCAGCCCUUCGAAGUCACAUUUCAAGUCACUGAGCUCAUCUUCCAGCAUCUGUGUGCUACUGCUCCUGACAGCUCUGUCAUAGCGGGGAUUCGGCUCGGUAGGUCGGUCUUUGAUUUUUGUCAUUUGGGGCAGCCACUCCUCAGCACCCAAGAAGUUCUCUCAUUCUUUGUGAAGGGAUGGGAAUCCAGAAUGCAUCCCAUGAAACAUCUUGCUGUCUGUGGCAGGAGUUGCAGCAGCAAGCCUCUAUUUGCAAGAAAUGCAAGUUUUGCCUCGUUGGCAGAGUUUAUUGAAGAUUUCUUUAACAUAACUAGUCAUAAAUGA
RNAcentral lists this long non-coding RNA (831 nucleotides) under Anser brachyrhynchus (Pink-footed goose). RNAcentral's name for it is "lncRNA (ENSABRG00000001803.1)". Lineage: Eukaryota; Metazoa; Chordata; Aves; Anseriformes; Anatidae. The record is from RNAcentral.